CUCGUAGGCGGCCGACUAAGUCAGACGUGAAAUCCCUCGGCUUAACCGGGGAACUGCGUCUGAUACUGGACGGCUUGAGUUCGGGAGAGGGAUGCGGAAUUCCAGGUGUAGCGGUGAAAUGCGUAGAUAUCUGGAGGAACACCGGUGGCGAAGGCGGCAUCCUGGACCGACACUGACGCUGAGGAGCGAAAGCCAGGGGAGCAAACG
Molecule: ribosomal RNA, 207 nt
Filed under: uncultured bacterium
Lineage: Bacteria
Description: partial 16S ribosomal RNA
Rfam family: Bacterial small subunit ribosomal RNA
Source: RNAcentral